UGGGGAAUUUUGCGCAAUGGGCGAAAGCCUGACGCAGCAACGCCGCGUGUGUGAUGAAGGUCUUCGGAUUGUAAAGCACUUUCGACCGGGACGAAAACCUAAUGGCUAACAUCCAUUGGAUUGACGGUACCGGGAGAAGAAGCACCGGCUAACUCUGUGCCAGCAGCCGCGGUAAUACAGAGGGUGCAAGCGUUGUUCGGAAUUAUUGGGCGUAAAGCGCGUGUAGGCGGCGAAGCAAGUCGGGUGUGAAAGCCCUCAGCUUAACUGAGGAAGUGCGCCCGAAACUGCUCCGCUUGAGUCCCGGAGAGGGUGGCGGAAUUCCCCAAGUAGAGGUGAAAUUCGUAGAUAUGGGGAGGAACACCGGUGGCGAAGGCGGCCACCUGGACGGGUACUGACGCUGAGACGCGAAAGCGUGGGUAGCAAACAGG
Molecule: ribosomal RNA, 428 nt
Filed under: uncultured bacterium
Lineage: Bacteria
Description: bacterial SSU rRNA
Rfam family: Bacterial small subunit ribosomal RNA
Source: RNAcentral